Molecule: long non-coding RNA, 428 nt
Organism: Meriones unguiculatus (Mongolian gerbil)
Lineage: Eukaryota; Metazoa; Chordata; Mammalia; Rodentia; Muridae
Exons: 3
Source: RefSeq, a predicted model, not a curated record
AUUAGUCACAAAGAGUCGCCCUAUGAAACCAAGCUAAGCAUCCAUUAAUAAGUAAAAGUGUGAUGCAGGCACACAGUAGAAUACCACUCAGCCACAGGAAGGAACCGCUGCUGUCUGCAGCAACGGAGAUGAGCCUUGAGGACACCGCACUGACUGAGGAUUUCUACAUGUCCAAAAUGUCAGCUAGAAGAAAUCCAUGAGAAUUUUCCUUAAAGGGGGUCGGAUUUUUUGACAAUGAGACAAGUCAUUUCCUGGCAGCACCCCGCUUACCUGAAAGAAGAUAAUGAGCAUUGAAGAACCUCCAUAUGGAGAUGGCUUCAAAUGUGGCAAACAAGCUACUCGGGUAAAGAAAAUACCCUUGCUUCAUGACAGAAAAAUUCUGCCUAAAAUGGGCAAGCUUAAAUGCAGGACAAGUCGACUGCCGAACU